GUUUUUGUAGUUGAAGUACAACGAUGGUUUUUCAAGUCAUCGGUCUUGGUUAAAGUCCUGGCAAAAACC
This 69-nucleotide transfer RNA is filed under the name Stegastes leucostictus (beaugregory). RNAcentral's name for it is "tRNA-Glu". It matches the Rfam family "tRNA". From Rfam's summary of the family: Transfer RNA (tRNA) molecules are approximately 80 nucleotides in length. Their secondary structure includes four short double-helical elements and three loops (D, anti-codon, and T loops). Further hydrogen bonds mediate the characteristic L-shaped molecular structure. tRNAs have two regions of fundamental functional importance: the anti-codon, which is responsible for specific mRNA codon recognition, and the 3' end, to which the tRNAs corresponding amino acid is attached (by aminoacyl-tRNA synthetases). tRNAs cope with the degeneracy of the genetic code in two manners: having more than one tRNA (with a specific anti-codon) for a particular amino acid; and 'wobble' base-pairing, i.e. permitting non-standard base-pairing at the 3rd anti-codon position. The record is from RNAcentral. Lineage: Eukaryota; Metazoa; Chordata; Actinopteri; Pomacentridae.